RNAcentral lists this ribosomal RNA (466 nucleotides) under Sardina environmental sample. RNAcentral describes it as "partial 16S ribosomal RNA". It matches the Rfam family "Bacterial large subunit ribosomal RNA", at positions 1997 to 2619 of the family's 2925-position model. The record is from RNAcentral. Lineage: Eukaryota; Metazoa; Chordata; Actinopteri; Clupeiformes; Clupeidae.
UGGCAUAACGAGGGUUUGACUGUCUCUUUUUCCUGGUCAGUGAAACUGAUCUGCCCGUGCAGAAGCGGGCAUACCGCCACAAGACGAGAAGACCCUAUGGAGCUUUAGACGCUAACCAACCCCGAAAAGCACCCUACACCAGGGCCCAAACAACGUGGUUUUGGCACAACCGUCUUCGGUUGGGGCGACCGCGGGAGAUAGCACAGCUCCCGAGUGGAUGGGGGAAACCCUAAAACCAAGAGCUACAGCUCGAAGUCACAAAACAUUUGACCAACAAUGAUCCGGCUUCAUGCCGACCAACGGACCAAGUUACCCUAGGGAUAACAGCGCAAUCCCCUCCCAGAGUUCAUAUCGACGAGGGGGUUUACGACCUCGAUGUUGGAUCAGGACAUCCUAAUGGUGCAGCCGCUAUUAAGGGUUCGUUUGUUCAACGAUUAAAGUCCUACGUGAUCUGAGUUCAAACCGG